Molecule: long non-coding RNA, 1711 nt
Organism: Brassica napus (rape)
Lineage: Eukaryota; Viridiplantae; Streptophyta; Magnoliopsida; Brassicales; Brassicaceae
Exons: 4
Source: RefSeq, a predicted model, not a curated record
GAAUGGAGAAGACUAUGUCUGUCUUUGUUUCCUUUCCUCCAAGCACCGAGUAUGGUAAAUGUUACUAAUUUCUUAGUGCGUGUGUGUUUGAUAUUCUCAAAUAUGAUAUCUCAGAUUCUAUUACCUUUGGAUCACACAACAAUAUCAAAAUCUGGUGGAAGUGGUUGACAAUUGGAUAUGCUUAUCUUGGAUACAUUAUAGAAGUGUAGCACAUAUCAUCCUUAUUCAUUAUACGUUUGAAUUUUCUUGUGUUACUUUAUGCUGAUGUUUUCAAAUUCUUUCUUUCAUUGUGACUGCAACAAGAUCGCACAACACCCCGGUUGGCUUUAUUUUGAAAGAUUAUGAGUUUUUUCUCCUUCUAUUGUUUAUAUAUGCUUACUUUUUUUUGUAGACGCUAGAGACAAUAAAAUGACAGUGUCCUUUGCUUAGAUGAUAUACAUACUGUGCAACCGUUCAGUCCUACCAAUGAUAUAGAUCUUACUCCAAUUUUCGUACGCCAAUAUGCUAUGGAUAGCCUUGCUGUGAAGUUUCCGUAUUUAGUUCAAGUGAAACUUAAAAAGGCCAACAAGCUAGGCGAGUAGAACAGCUGGGUUGGAGAGUAAACAAAGAAGAUUAUGAGAAGCCAUUUUUAGCUGCAAACUUAUCAUUCAGGCCACUUCCAGCAAGUUAAUCAAAGCCUCUUUCAUGUCUCCCUGCUGCAUCUAUGGGGAAUCUCCAUCAUUAGUUAUGCCGUCAGUGAUGUAUGGAGAAGACUAUGUCCGUCUUGGUUUCCUUUUUGGAGAAAAAUCAAGAGUGGCUUAUAUAUUCGAUGUUUCACGCUUUCCUCCCUGCACUGAGUACAUUAUAUCAAAAUCUGGUGGUAGACAACUAGAUCUGCUUAUCUUGGAUACAUCAUUUAAGACAUGAUCACUCAACACCACUUAUGUUUCCCUGGCCACAUGUAUGCUUACUUUGUUUUGUGUAGACACUAGAGACAAUCGAAUUUUCGUGUACUAAAAGAGGACUUUUAGGAAGAAUGACUCACGAGUUUGAUCACCACAAGGACAACGAGUGUCUUGAAGAAUGGUCUAAUAGAUACAGAGCUUUAGAAACAAUCACAAACUGUCUUAAUAAACCAUACGCAGAGUGAUGAUCUUAUUUGUUUUCUGCAGAUAAUUUUGAGUAUCUUCGGAAUAGUUUACUAAAUUUGAACGACUUCUCUUGGUUUUGAUUUUCUUCGGCAAGAAGGAGCGAACAGACUUGCAACGGUCUGCUGGUAACCUUUCUACAUGAGACUACACUGCAGCAGUAGGGAAAAUCACAGAGGCUCUUUCAGAUUUUGUGAUGGGAUUCAUCUCGGUUAAUCAUGCGUCUUGGAAAUGGGAGAUGUGUAUCCGUCUAUGAUUCAUGCAACGCUUGGUGUUCAAGUGGUGAAAAAAUGGUGAUGCACUUGGUCAAAAAUACAACACUCCAGAGUCUCUCGCUCCUAGCCUUAACAUUCAUAGUUAGUACCUAUCUCAGGAAAGUAUCGGUUUUAUGUAUGCUUCUUGACCUUCAUAAAUUUUUUGAUUUGAGGAACCUUUCUUUUGCUUGGUGUUCCAUAUUUCGUAAAGACUAUCCCCAAAUGCUAAUACAUCAUAACACCACCUAGCAUCGUGUGGAUCAAGACUUGCUUCAAAAAAACUACUUCAAUGAUUGAAUGGGAAUAAAAGAUUUUGAUCAGUUUGGCUUU